This 465-nucleotide ribosomal RNA is filed under the name uncultured bacterium. Its description in RNAcentral is "bacterial SSU rRNA". It matches the Rfam family "Bacterial small subunit ribosomal RNA", at positions 30 to 507 of the family's 1533-position model. The record is from RNAcentral.
AUUGAACGCUGGCGGUAUGCUUAAGACAUGCAAGUCGAACGGUAACAGGUUAAGCUGACGAGUGGCGGACGAGUGAGUAACGCGUGGGAAUCUACCUUGUAGUGGGGGAUAAGCCAGGGAAACUUGGACUAAUACCGCAUACGCCCUAAGGGGGAAAGGCGCAAGUCGCUAUAAGAUGAGCCCGCGUCUGAUUAGGUAGUUGGUGGGGUAAAGGCCUACCAAGCCGACGAUCAGUAGCUGGUCUGAGAGGAUGAUCAGCCACGUCGGGACUGAGACACGGCCCGGACUCCUACGGGAGGCAGCAGUCGGGAAUAUUGGACAAUGGGGGAAACCCUGAUCCAGCAAUACCGCGUGUGUGAAGAAGGCCCUCGGGUUGUAAAGCUCUUUUGUCCGGAAAGAAAAGCAAUCGGUUAAUACCCGGUUGUUCUGACGGUACCGGAAGAAUAAGCACCGGCUAACUUCGUG